Molecule: non-coding RNA, 422 nt
Organism: Podarcis muralis (Common wall lizard)
Lineage: Eukaryota; Metazoa; Chordata; Lepidosauria; Squamata; Lacertidae
Source: RefSeq, a predicted model, not a curated record
AUGUGUGCGUGCGCUUGCCUGGGUCGUGUUAUUUGGACGACCACUCUUAAACUCUGCCCGCAAACCAGUCCACUCACUUCUGAUCCUGAGUCGACUCCCUGGUCCAGUUCAAGAUGCUAAACAGCUUGGGUCCCAGCAAGAGCACCUUCUUCCAUAUCAACCGGUCUGUGCUCUAAGAUCAGCAGAUAUGGCCUCCCUGGUGGAUCCUCUUUAGUAUGAGGAGGAAAGCAACCCAGCCUGGUGAUACCAGAAUAAAUGAUGCAAGGAGGGAGCUGCAGCCCAAGAUAGCAACUCAGUGAUACGGACACAGAGAUGGUGACUAGCUCAAAGCUUCACAGCAGAGGAGGAAAUGAACCUGGGAUUCCUGAGGCCAAAACUGAUACUUGAUCUAGGUUUACUUCUACACCAACUCCCAAAGUACA